Molecule: long non-coding RNA, 141 nt
Organism: Poecile atricapillus (Black-capped chickadee)
Lineage: Eukaryota; Metazoa; Chordata; Aves; Passeriformes; Paridae
Exons: 3
Source: RefSeq, a predicted model, not a curated record
AAAAGAAAAAGAUGUUUCCAAAAGUGGAAUUCUCAAGGACUGCUUUCAGAAACUGCAGCUUCAUUCAAACAACCAAACAGCAGAGAAAUGCAAAUAUUUCAAUCACUCUCCUGGAACAUUUGGAGGAUUCAAGGUUUAGUA